RNAcentral lists this ribosomal RNA (468 nucleotides) under uncultured bacterium. RNAcentral's name for it is "partial 16S ribosomal RNA". It matches the Rfam family "Bacterial small subunit ribosomal RNA", at positions 28 to 507 of the family's 1533-position model. The record is from RNAcentral.
GACGAACGCUGGCGGCGUGCUUAACACAUGCAAGUCGAACGGAAAGGCCCUGCUUUUGUGGGGUGCUCGAGUGGCGAACGGGUGAGUAACACGUGAGUAACCUGCCCUUGACUUUGGGAUAACUUCAGGAAACUGGGGCUAAUACCGGAUAGGAGCUCCUGCUGCAUGGUGGGGGUUGGAACGUUUCGGCGGUUGGGGAUGGACUCGCGGCUUAGCAGCUUGUUGGUUGGGUAGUGGCUUACCAAGGCUUUGGCGGGUAGCCGGCCUGAGUGGGUGACCGGCUACAGUGGGACUGAGAUGCGGCCCAGACUCCGGCGGGAGGCAGCAGUGGGGAAUAUUGCACAAUGGGCGGAAGUCUGAUGCAGCAACGCCGCGUGCGGGAUGACGGCCUUCGGGUUGUAAACCGCUUUCGCCUGUGACGAAGCGUGAGUGACGGUAAUGGGUAAAGAAGCACCGGCUAACUACGUG